AUUGAACGCUGGCGGCAGGCCUAACACAUGCAAGUCGAACGGUAACAGGAAGAAGCUUGCUUCUUUGCUGACGAGUGGCAGACGGGUGAGUAAUGUCUGGGAAACUGCCUGAUGGAGGGGGAUAACUACUGGAAACGGUAGCUAAUACCGCAUAACGUCGCAAGACCAAAGAGGGGGACCUUCGGGCCUCUUGCCAUCGGAUGUGCCCAGAUGGGAUUAGCUAGUAGGUGGGGUAACGGCUCACCUAGGCGACGAUCCCUAGCUGGUCUGAGAGGAUGACCAGCCACACUGGAACUGAGACACGGUCCAGACUCCUACGGGAGGCAGCAGUGGGGAAUAUUGCACAAUGGGCGCAAGCCUGAUGCAGCCAUGCCGCGUGUAUGAAUAAGGCCUUCGGGUUGUAAAGUACUUUCAGCGGGGAGGAAGGGAGUAAAGUUAAUACCUUUGCUCAUUGACGUUACCCGCAGAAGAAGCACCGGCUAACUCCGUG
RNAcentral lists this ribosomal RNA (490 nucleotides) under uncultured bacterium. RNAcentral's name for it is "partial 16S ribosomal RNA". It matches the Rfam family "Bacterial small subunit ribosomal RNA", at positions 30 to 507 of the family's 1533-position model. The record is from RNAcentral.